Molecule: ribosomal RNA, 244 nt
Filed under: uncultured bacterium
Lineage: Bacteria
Description: partial 16S ribosomal RNA
Rfam family: Bacterial small subunit ribosomal RNA
Source: RNAcentral
UACGUAGGGUGCAAGCGUUGUCCGGAAUUAUUGGGCGUAAAGAGCUCGUAGGCGGUUCGGCAAGUCGGAUGUGAAAUCUCACGCUUAACGUGGAGGGGCCAUUCGAAACUGCUGUGACUCGAGUCCGGUAGGGGAGUGUGGAAUUCCCGGUGUAGCGGUGAAAUGCGCAGAUAUCGGGAGGAACACCAGUAGCGAAGGCGGCACUCUGGGCCGAUAGUGACGCUGAGGAGCGAAAGCGAGGGGA